UCUGCUCAAUGAUUUUUUAAAUUGCUGUAGUAUUUUGACUAUACAAAGGUAUUGUAAUAAGACUUUAAUUGGGUGCUAAGAGAAUGGAUUUUCAAAAAAAUUCUUUUUUAAAUUUAAAAAUUAAAGUUAUUUUUAUUUGUGAAGAAACAAUAAUAUAAAUUAAAGACAAGAAGACCCUAUGAAUUUUGAUCGAUUUAAUAUUAAAUUUAAUAUUUAAUUCGAUUUAAUUGGGGCGAUUAAAAAAUAUUGAAAACUUUUUAAAAUAAAAAGAUCCAUUAAUAAUGAUUACAUGAAAUAAAUACUCUAGGGAUAACAGCGUAAA
RNAcentral lists this ribosomal RNA (322 nucleotides) under Haemaphysalis hystricis. RNAcentral's name for it is "partial large subunit ribosomal RNA". The record is from RNAcentral. Lineage: Eukaryota; Metazoa; Arthropoda; Arachnida; Ixodida; Ixodidae.